This 4229-nucleotide long non-coding RNA is filed under the name Homo sapiens (human). RNAcentral describes it as "HSALNT0285106". Lineage: Eukaryota; Metazoa; Chordata; Mammalia; Primates; Hominidae. The record is from RNAcentral.
CUUCAAAGACCCACUUUGGCAUUCUGUUCCAUGUUAACCCAGGCCCAUGUGCAUCUAUACGGAAACCCAAGCUAACUGCCUUGGAAACCACAAAGAGGAGUGCAUAUGUUUAUUUGUUGGUGAUCACAUUGCUGGGUACAGUGGAAAAACAUGUAAGAGCUUUCAAUCUGUUUGGAGAUACAGGACUUGUGAAACAACAUCAAAGCAGGUAAGAUGAAAUGUAAAUUAGAUCGAGUAGAGUAUAAGUGCAAAACUGAACUGAGCAAGACACUUCUGCACUUACAUUUUGUAGGAGUUUGGAGAAAAGGGAGACUGAAACGAGAGAUGGAUGGCAGACUGACUGGGUGCCACGUGUCCCUGAAAUGUCCUAACCAUACUCAAUAAGAGUGUGUGCCUUCUCAGGGAGUCUAUAGGGCAUGUGCCAGGCCCUUAAUAUCUACACUGAAAAUGGCGUGUUCAUUUCCAGGAAUACUCUGGUGCACUUUAACAAAACAAAAACCAAAUUCCUACUUCUGAAAUCCUUUUAUCAGAAAAUGCAGGGAUUUGGAGUCAGCUGACCUGUGCCAAAUCCUGAUUCUGUUACUUCAGUGGCUGUGGGAGCUGGGGCAUGUCCAGUCAGCAUAUGGAAUCUUGAGAUCCUGAUGUGACAAAUGGGGUGGUACUAAUACCAGUCCUGCCUAGACUUGGCCCCCAAUGUAAGGGGAACAAAUGAGAUCGUGUAGGCGAUGCCACUUUGCACAUUCUGAAGCACUAAAUGAAUGUGCAAUGGUGUCACCACAUGGUCUUUUGCCUCUUUUGCCUAUUACAUCUCUACCCCCAUGAUGUUCUGAGACUGGUGGCAUCUGCUCCAGAGAGGAAGCAGGCCUGGAAUAGCCCGGGUAUUUACGGAGGAGAUUGGCAGAGUGUGAGUUGUGAAACUCAGUGGUCUGCUCCAGAUCAUCCUGUUGAGUUCCUCACUCUCAUGAGCACUAAAUUUACUCUCCCCAUUUUUUAAAAAAUAGCUUCAGAAAUUUGCUCUAUUAUGUUUCUCUUCACUUUAUGUUGGGGGGAAUUUGAGAAUACUUCCAUACAAAGGGCUGUUCUUUGACUGAGAAUGAUCCUGUCAGGCAUAUAGCUCACCUCUCACUUGUCAGGCACACGGCAAGAGAAUGACUUUCUCAGAAUUAAUGGCCUUUUCUAAACCCAUUAAAGAAACUCUAAAGAUUAGGGCUGCUGUUCCCAAGCAUGAGGAUCAUUUUAUGUGGAUUGGCCACUUUGAAUAAGCUAGUGACUAGUGGAAGAGUAGCUGUAACCCUGCCCUCUGAAGGCUUGUACUCAUAAUGAGCUCAAAUGUGACCUAAGGACAACUAAACCGGUAAGUCUGAGACUUGAUUACCCUGUAUGUUUUGCAGCCUCCUCCUCUUACUCAGUGUGUGACCUUAGGCAGCUCACUGCACCUCUGUGGGAUUCAGUUUCUGCAUCUGCCAUAGAGGGAUCAUGAGUACCGAUCCUCCAGGGCUGACAUGAAAAUUAAAGAAGGUAGAGUGUCUACAGUGCUGAUCUACGUGAUUGGCAUAUAGGCAACACUCUGCAAAUGUUAGCUGUUAUGACUGUGAUGAUGUUAGGACCUUGUCACAGUGUAAAGGAAGCCAUAUCCCUGACCUCUGAGGGCAUGUGCUCAAAAUGAGAUAAAAUACAGAAAGACAAGCAAUCCAAACGUGGGCAGAAGGGGCAGGGAGGUUGCAUUCAGUCCAGUGGUUUCACCGAACCCUCCUUCCUUUCCAUCUCCUCCUACCAAAAUUGUUAACUUUACCACAGAACAAGACAUUAUUUUAACUGCCUAGAAACCAGGGCUUCUUUCGUUUUUUCCCCAAGUGGGGUGAGGGGGAAGGAAAAGAGAGAGGAAAUAAACACCAGCUGGGAUGAGAAUAUGAAGAAAAGAUAGGUUUCUUUUUUUUCCAUUAAAAAAAAAAGAAUGGGGUAGUGGGGACAGGGAGAAAAAUGUGUUUUGAAUGUGGAGGUACUGUUGCAAAUAGCACAGGCAGUUUCCCAGAGCCGCACUUCUUCCAAUCAUCUCAGAGCAGGCAGUGCUCUGGCCCCAGCCAAUUAUUUAUUUACACAAGAGGUACAGAUGCCAGAGGCAGGUGUCAAAACAAUUAAUAACACUCCCGAAAUGAAUAGUCUCUCCGUAACUCUGCCAGCCCGUGUAGGCUGGCUCCUCAGGAGAGAGCUCCCUGAGAAACUGCUCCCAGCCAGAGCAAUGGUCUGGGUCCACUGCGCAAACAUUCAGUACUGAUCUGUAGCUACACUCUACCGCCCAUUGCGUAUGAGGGUGAGGGCUUGCCUUUUCAAGAGACUCACCUUCAUCCCUUCUUGAAAUACCUAGUACUUCGCGAAAGCUGAAUCUUUGCUCAAAAGUCUUUGAGUUUUUCUAGCCAGAGAAAUGCAGAGGCAGACUGGGGGACUCCAAAGUGGUGGGAACUGCUGUUUCUUGAAGAUAAAUUUGCAGUAAAAUGAAUUCUACAAUUGAGGAUUAAAAGGAUUUCAAAUUUAAAUUGAAUUAAAAUUUUAAAACUUAAUUCACUUAUUUUUCAAAACAACCUUACAAGGUAUACACUACUAUUAUCCCCAUUUCCAGACGAAGAAACCGAGUCACAAAAAGGAUGGAAGCAGCAGCAAUAGGAACAGCAGCAACACAGCCUCGGACCAACUGAGCAUUUAAUUGAACACCUAAUGGAGUGACACUUUGUUUCCUAGGCAAAUUUGGUUGCUAUUAACAGGGAGGUAGUUAUCAUGGUUAAAUUUACUCAUUACAACAAAGUACUAGGGGAGCUUUUUAAUAUUUAUGUGACAAUAAUUGAUCUCUUACCACUGUCAAGUACUGCUAAAGACUUAUCAGCUUGCUGUUUCAGCACCAUAUGUUGUAGCCAAGAUGCACUCCAUGUGUCCUUCCUGUGCCUUGGGGAGAGAACAUUUGCAGUAGAUCAGAAUAGAAAAUGGUAUGGGUUUCAGAAAAGCUGCUUGCUCUCAGCUUUCUCGUCAGUGACCGGGGUAUGCAAGUUGUGACUAUAAAGUAAUGAGACUACCUUCCAAAACCACCCGUGAAAUGAAGCCUCGACCUUUAAUUGUUCUCUUCCCUAGGUUUGAACCAAGAACUGGUCGACCUAAUUAAAGGGGAUUCCUCGUAAAUUCGCCUUGUAUUGCAUUCAACUUAUUUUAAAUAGGGCAUUCUGUGAAAUCUGAAAACCCGCCUACAAUUAAAACACUAACAUCUAUACCAUUUGGUUUUUCUUAAUGAGCCAUGUGCUGAUUUCACUUGUCUUAUUUCAGCAAUAACAAGGAUUAGCACACACAUACCAUAAAUCUCCCAGGAACCUAAGGAGUGGGCUUUUAGAAUUUUUCUUGAGGCAGAUUUCAUUUGAACUUUAUUUAUGGGAGUGAGUGAGCUACUUGGGGAAAGAGAGUUUAACUGUUUCAAACUGUGAGGGUCCCCUUAAGUAAACUGCGUCUGGGAAUCACAGUGUGGGUCAAGGAGCUAGAAACAUUAAGCAUCCCACAGUCAUAUGCAUAGGGAGGCUACCUCAAUAGCUCUGCCUGCCUGAUGAGGUGGGGUUGCAAUGACCCUUGGGUCGUCUGGAGGGUCACAGUUUCAGAAGAUGUGGUGAAAUAAGGCAAGUGUGUUACCAUGACCAUGAUAAUAUUUAUAUUUUAGAAGUAUCUUGAUGUGGUGGGCCUUAAGGAACUGACAUUCACAAGUCUUCCUCCAAGCACACACUGUCUACUAGGUCAAUCACACAAUGAGCUGUUAAUAUUUAAAAUCUAAACACAACAAAAAUUUUUUAAAAAUGGAUCUGUCAAUCACAGUGGAAUGCUAUUUUCCUGGGAUCACUGUGCCACCAUCUUUUCUGGGAUCGAGAAUCUCCUUUUCCGUUCGUUUGUUAGUUUGCUUUUUUGCACCGUUGGAGGAGAACGUUUUCAAAGCAAAUUAAGAGAAAAUUGAAGAAAUGGACCUUUAACCCUUCCUCAGAGCUACUGAUGAGGGCCUGAGAGAAACUUCUCUUUAAAAUCCUCUGGAAAUCUAGAAGCCAUUUGAACAUGUUCAUUAGUGGCCUUUGGCCAAUGAUGUCUGUACAUUUCUUAGACAACUUUUCAUAUAUUUGGAAAAUUCAAUCCAGCCCUAAUGCCACUGUGGAUUAUUUCCUUGGGCUCCUGGAUAUUUUCUGUGCUUCUUCUUCUUUUUUUUGGAUCUG